This 736-nucleotide unclassified non-coding RNA is filed under the name uncultured Prochlorococcus sp. RNAcentral's name for it is "partial 16S-23S ribosomal RNA intergenic spacer; may also contain 16S ribosomal RNA and 23S ribosomal RNA". The stretch from base 343 to 415 matches the Rfam family "tRNA". The record is from RNAcentral. Lineage: Bacteria; Bacillati; Cyanobacteriota; Cyanophyceae; Synechococcales; Prochlorococcaceae.
UUGUGGAGAAGGACGCCGAAGGUGGGGCUGAUGACUGGGGUGAAGUCGUAACAAGGUAGCCGUACCGGAAGGUGCGGCUGGAUCACCUCCUAACAGGGAGACAAUAAAUUGAUUGUGAUGUCUAAGUUUUCAUUCUAAGGCCGCAAUCCUGUCACCUUAAGGUCGAUCGGUACCUCAGAUUUUUGAAUUAAUCUUAUAAUUAAUUCUUUGGUUUCAGUUCCUAAACUUGUCUAGGUCACACCCAACAAAGGUUUCUCCUGGGCCAUUAGCUCAAGUGGUUAGAGCGCACCCCUGAUAAGGGUGAGGUCCCUGGUUCAAGUCCAGGAUGGCCCAUUCGUUGUUGGGGGUAUAGCUCAGUUGGUAGAGCGCCUGCUUUGCAAGCAGGAUGUCAGCGGUUCGAGUCCGCUUACCUCCACUGAAAACUAUCCUGAUAACUAAAUUUCGGAGAAAAAUUUGUAGAAGUGACUUAGCAUUGUCUGCCUGAAAAGAACUCAGCUUCUUGUCAUCUUUUUAUAGUUGAUAACAUGCUGGGCUCCCAUGGUUUAAUUCCAUGAGAAUUCAGUAGAACCUUGAAAACUGCAUAGAUUAGAAAGAAUAAAGCAUCUCAUGGAUGCAUAAUUCUGGUUUUUAUAAUUUAGCCUAAAAACUAAAUUACUUAAUUCUAGAAUUCAUGUUUAAUUCUUGAGUAAAAGCCGAGCACAAUUGAUUUUGUGAUUGUAUUAAGGUCAAGCUACAA